GACGAACGCUGGCGGCGUGCCUAAUACAUGCAAGUAGAACGCUGAAGGAGGAGCUUGCUCUUCUGGAUGAGUUGCGAACGGGUGAGUAACGCGUAGGUAACCUGCCUGGUAGCGGGGGAUAACUAUUGGAAACGAUAGCUAAUACCGCAUAAGAGUAGAUGUUGCAUGACAUUUGCUUAAAAGGUGCAAUUGCAUCACUACCAGAUGGACCUGCGUUGUAUUAGCUAGUUGGUGGGGUAACGGCUCACCAAGGCGACGAUACAUAGCCAACCUGAGAGGGGGAUCGGCCACACUGGGACUGAGACCCGGCCCAGACUCCUAAGGGGGGCAGCAGCAGGGAAUCUUCGGCAAUGGACGGAAGUCUGACCGAGCAACGCCACCUGAGUGAAGAAGGUUUUCGGAACGUAAAGCUCUGUUGUAAGAGAAGAACGAGUGUGAGAGUGGAGAGUUCACACUGUGACGGUAUCUUACCAGAAAGGGACGGCUAACUACGUG
RNAcentral lists this ribosomal RNA (495 nucleotides) under uncultured bacterium. Its description in RNAcentral is "partial 16S ribosomal RNA". It matches the Rfam family "Bacterial small subunit ribosomal RNA", at positions 28 to 507 of the family's 1533-position model. The record is from RNAcentral.